This 207-nucleotide ribosomal RNA is filed under the name uncultured Aspergillus. Its description in RNAcentral is "partial 28S ribosomal RNA". The record is from RNAcentral. Lineage: Eukaryota; Fungi; Ascomycota; Eurotiomycetes; Eurotiales; Aspergillaceae.
GGUUCAGCCGGCAUUCGUGCCGGUGUACUUCCCUGGGGGCGGGCCAGCGUCGGUUUGGGCGGCCGGUCAAAGGCUCCCGGAAUGUAGUGCCCUCCGGGGCACCUUAUAGCCGGGAGUGCAAUGCGGCCAGCCUGGACCGAGGAACGCGCUUCGGCACGGACGCUGGCAUAAUGGUCGUAAACGACCCGUCUUGAAACACGGACCAAG